GGGGAUGCAGCUUAGUGACAGAACAUGUACUUAGCAUGUGCAAGACCCUGGGUUCAAUCCCCAGCACCACCA
This 72-nucleotide transfer RNA is filed under the name Ictidomys tridecemlineatus (thirteen-lined ground squirrel). Its description in RNAcentral is "Spermophilus tridecemlineatus (thirteen-lined ground squirrel) tRNA". It matches the Rfam family "tRNA". Rfam says of the family: Transfer RNA (tRNA) molecules are approximately 80 nucleotides in length. Their secondary structure includes four short double-helical elements and three loops (D, anti-codon, and T loops). Lineage: Eukaryota; Metazoa; Chordata; Mammalia; Rodentia; Sciuridae. The record is from Rfam by way of RNAcentral.